Immersiella caudata is the source of this 72-nucleotide non-coding RNA. The record is from the annotation of a GenBank genome assembly. Lineage: Eukaryota; Fungi; Ascomycota; Sordariomycetes; Sordariales; Lasiosphaeriaceae.
GGCUGGAUAGCUCAAUGGUAGGGCAUCACUUUCCGGUGCUGAAGCUUCUGGGUUCGAGUCCCAGUUCGGUCG